AUCACUCUAUUUCAGACAAACACCACAGAAAAAACUGGUCCUGCCUCCACUCACUAUAGGUAAGGUUGAGUGGGGAACUUAGACUUCCAGCUUCACAAGGCUGUAAUGAAGCACAAGUUAAGGUGGUGUCAGAGAAGGCAGAGUAAAGAGAUGAGACUUUCAUGCCCAGUGGCCAACAACAAGAUACUCCUCUCCCCCAGUGUCAGUGAAGAAUGUGUAGCAAGCCUGCAAUUUCAUCCCCCUCAACAGUAACAAGGUGCUCCUUCCUACACUGAGAAAAUGGCAGAGGAUGCUUAGAGGAAAGACAGAAAUUUUACCAAUGCCCUGCAGUAACAUGGUCAUCCCCAUUGCAGUGCCAGUGGAAACCACAUGAGUAGCCAGCAUUCCCAUUCCUGUUUAGGAGUAAGGAAAGUCUCCCUACAUCUUGGAGUGUCAAUGGAGACCUAGUGAGGAACUUGCACUUGUCUCUACCUGGUAGUAGUGAGAUGUCAUUACCUUUCCUCUGCCAGAAGAUAAUCAGAAAAAAAGAGCUAAAACAUAAAAAUUAAAUAAGAUCCAGAAUCUCAUAAUACAAAAAUCCAGUUUUCAAUAAAAUUUAUUCAACAUACCAAGAACCAAGAAGACUCCAAGCUGAGUGAGAAACGACGAUCCACAACCGCCAACACCAAAAUAAUAGAAAUGAUAGAGUUACCCGACAAAGAUUUUAAAGCAGCCAGGACAAAAAUGCUUCAAUAAGCAAUCAUAAACAUUUUUUAAACAAAUGCAAAAGUAAAAAGUCUCAUCAAGUAAAUAGAAGAUACAGAGAAGAACCAAAUGGAGAGUUUUGAAUUGAAAAGUAUAACAAUGUUGUGAGACAUAGAUAGUUACUUAGAAAUAGUCUGAGCUCUUAGGGUAUUAUUUAAUCUUUGAUAGGUGAGUCCAGAGAGGCACUUAGUUUAAGAUUAUUUUUUUCCCCAUUACUAAGGCAAGAUCUUUUUAGUGCCCUAACUGAUACUCCCUGAAUUAUGAGUUUUUCUACUCAGGGCUGUUGGAAAGAGGCACUACUUUUGACACAUGAGCUCCCAGCAGUAUUACCACAUAAUCAUGUCUGAUAGUUCUUUUCUCAGCCUUGGAUAGUUUUCUCACAUACAUUUGAUGAUGAGUAUUCAACUAAAUGUCUAAAUGGAACCCUCCACAGACCUUUGGAGUUCUCUCUCUUGCAGCUCUCUUCUCUCUGAUGCUUAGUUCUGUGAAUUCUUACCGUCUUGUCUUCCCUAGAAUUCCAUCCCAACUUCUUCAAACCAGAAAGACUGACAGAGUUUGCAUGGUUGCUUCCUCCCUGGAUCAUGACUCAGAAACAUUCUCCAGGAAAUAAUAUGGUAAUCAUAUGGCUCACCUCAUUUGCUUUUCAUCAUUUAGGGAUCAUUCUCCUGCUGUCCAAUUUCUUGAGUGCCAUUAUUUUAUUUGUUUUGUCCCAUAUUUCACCUGUGUUAUGAGGAAAAGUAAAUCCAUUUCCUGUAACUCCAUUUUCACUGGAAGUUGAGACUCUUCUUUGAUUUUAAUCCAUUGUGUAUUUAUAUAUUUCUAAACUGCUUUCUUGUAGACAGCCUAUGGUUGUGUCUUAAUUUACCUGCUAUCUAACAAUCUGUGCUUUUCAUUGU
Long non-coding RNA from Equus caballus (horse), 1640 nucleotides. The record is from Ensembl. NCBI's taxonomy places the organism in Eukaryota, Metazoa, Chordata, Mammalia, Perissodactyla, Equidae.